Molecule: long non-coding RNA, 214 nt
Filed under: Helianthus annuus (common sunflower)
Lineage: Eukaryota; Viridiplantae; Streptophyta; Magnoliopsida; Asterales; Asteraceae
Description: hypothetical non coding rna
Rfam family: Small nucleolar RNA Z43 (bases 120-214)
Source: RNAcentral
GGAGUUCAGAUGAUGAUCAAUUGCAUAGUUCAAAUGAAUGUUUGUGAUUAGAAAUGUUUUAGUCUUUCCGAUGAACUCACAAUAUUUUUUUAUAUUUUUUAAUUAAUAAUGAUUUAGUGGGAUAAUGACGACUUCAUGUGAUAAGGUCUCGUUCGUCGUAAUGGUGUGAACCUUGCCGACCAUCCUGUUAUAUCACCACCCAUAAACUGAAUCU